This 741-nucleotide ribosomal RNA is filed under the name uncultured bacterium. RNAcentral's name for it is "bacterial SSU rRNA". It matches the Rfam family "Bacterial small subunit ribosomal RNA", at positions 36 to 772 of the family's 1533-position model. The record is from RNAcentral.
CUGGCGGCAUGCUUUACACAUGCAAGUCGAACGGCAGCACGGGGGCAACCCUGGUGGCGAGUGGCGAACGGGUGAGUAAUGCAUCGGAACGUAUCCUUAAGUGGGGGAUAACGCAUCGAAAGAUGCGCUAAUACCGCAUAAUCUCUAAGGAGAAAAGCAGGGGAUCGCAAGACCUUGCGCUUUUGGAGCGGCCGAUGUCUGAUUAGCUAGUUGGUGAGGUAAAGGCUUACCAAGGCUUCGAUCAGUAGCUGGUCUGAGAGGACGACCAGCCACACUGGGACUGAGACACGGCCCAGACUCCUACGGGAGGCAGCAGUGGGGAAUUUUGGACAAUGGGGGCGACCCUGAUCCAGCCAUGCCGCGUGAGUGAAGAAGGCCUUCGGGUUGUAAAGCUCUUUCAGCCGGAACGAAAAGGUUACGGUUAAUACCCGUGACUAAUGACGGUACCGGAAGAAGAAGCACCGGCUAACUACGUGCCAGCAGCCGCGGUAAUACGUAGGGUGCGAGCGUUAAUCGGAAUUACUGGGCGUAAAGCGUGCGCAGGCGGUUUUGUAAGUCAGAUGUGAAAUCCCCGGGCUUAACCUGGGAACUGCGUUUGAAACUACAAGGCUAGAGUGUGGCAGAGGGGGGUGGAAUUCCACGUGUAGCAGUGAAAUGCGUAGAGAUGUGGAGGAACACCGAUGGCGAAGGCAGCCCCCUGGGUUAACACUGACGCUCAGGCACGAAAGCGUGGGGAGCAAA